RNAcentral lists this ribosomal RNA (251 nucleotides) under uncultured prokaryote. RNAcentral describes it as "partial 16S ribosomal RNA". It matches the Rfam family "Bacterial small subunit ribosomal RNA", at positions 524 to 774 of the family's 1533-position model. The record is from RNAcentral.
UACGGAGGAUGCGAGCGUUAUCCGGAUUUAUUGGGUUUAAAGGGUGCGUAGGCGGCUUAGUAAGUCAGCGGUGAACUUUUGCAGCUUAACUGUAACAGUGCCGUUGAUACUGCCAGGCUAGGAUUUGGUUGCUGUGGGUGGAAUGUGUGGUGUAGCGGUGAAAUGCUUAGAUAUCACACAGAAUAUCGAUUGCGAAGGCAGCUCACAAAGCCAAGAUUGACGCUGAGGCACGAAAGUGUGGGGAUCAAACA